GCGGCCCUCCACAGCAGCCGAACUCCUUGUAGUUGUCACCGUGGACGCGGGCUGCAGGGAGCCCCGGACGCCCACCCCGGGUUCCGGCCUCACCCUCAGGCUGACGCAGCAUGCCCAGCGGGGAGCAGCAGGACGGGAUCUCCUUGCUGGCGUGCCUGCAUCCAGCUGUUUACUGCACGUUAAUCCUGAAUCUGGGGGGCCAUCUGUUUGAAAGAUGCUAUUCCAAGGUGGCCCCCUUGUGUGGAGGCCCAGGGAUGAUGACUCAAGGCUUUGGUUCGGGCAGAUCUGAAGGACCUAUCGGUUAUUUUGUCUACACAGAGUGAAGGUUACAAUAAGCUGAUGUCAUUGUGACGGCCAUUGGUCUGUUCCCGUCCGAAAGAAUUCAUUUUCAGCAGUGGGGGGUAUCUGUUAGUUCUUUGUUUAUCUUGCAGCUGAAUUCUCAGCCAGGUCCAUGGAAUUUUGAGUCACCAACUUGUGUGCAAUAAUCCAGAGGAUUAAAGAAUUCUUUUUUUCUUCUUGAUACAAAAAGGUAUUUUUUAAAAAUUCACAGAGGAGAAACAUAAUUUAAUUUUUGAAUAUUUUCUUUAACAUUUUCAAAUAUAUGUGAAAGAGAGAGGGCUUGGAUGGCUUCAACAAUUGAAACAAAUGCAGCAUCUCUCAUAUUAAAAGUUUACAUAAAAUGUAAGCACAAUACUACAAAUGCUAAUGUAAUUUAUUCUAAUUGAGGAAUUACUCUGAUUCACUAUAACUGUGUAUAACUAUAUAUAAAUUAAUGGUAUUUUUAAAAGAGUGUGGUAAAAAGAUAUAUAAAUAGGAAACACUAGAAAUGAUAAUAUGAUAUUUAUCUAAUGACUAUUUGAUGUGUCGGAACAUUUUGAUUCUGAAUAAAUAUGAGUUUAGUGUAUCAGUAAUAUAUAAAUAUAGCAUCAUCAAAUAUAGCAAAACUAAUAUAAUUCAAAUAUAAUAUAUGAUUAUAUUAUAUACAAUUAUAUAUUUUAUAUAUAAUAUAUAAUUACAUUAUAUAGAAUUAUAUAUUUUAUAUAUAAUAUAUAAUUAUAUUAUAUACAAUUAUAUAUUUUAUGUAUAAUAUAUAAUUAUAAAUGUAUAAUUAUUAUAAGAAAUAAUUAUAUAUCAUUAUAUGGUAUAUAAUAUAAUAAUUAUAUAAUAACAUAUAAUUAUAAUAUAAUUCAAAUAUAGGUCAAAUUAAAUAUAGUCAAAUUAAUACUUUGAUAACAAACUGAUUGAAAAUAAAAACAAGUCUCAGAGGCUUAAAAUACAAAAGAAUAUUUCUCUGCCACGUUUGGUGAGCAGAAUCAAUUACUACCUUAAUAGCAUUAUAUUUAUUAAUGAAUAGCCUAAAUAAUUUUCUUUCAUUUUAGAAUUACUAUUGCAUUUCAACUUUCUUAUUCAGAAACAAUAAAUUAGCAUGGCAGAGAUGGCUAAUUGCCUCCUGGUUUGGGGGCAUUGGUCUGGACAUUCUCCGUUUUCUUAAUAACAAGACCCCAAUUUUAUUAACACUUAUUUAUUAAGGGCUAAGCAUGACUGUGUGCUCAGCUACGUUUCCUGCCUCUCUUGCAGUUCACAGUGGCCACACGAUACAGUUCUGGUCAAGUGAGACUUCUGGGAAAGCCUUUACAAGUGAACAGAUUUGUCUAGAUUGUCCCUUUUGCCCUUUGCCAUAGUCUUUCUUUGAGCCAGGAAUGUGGAUGUGAUGGCUUGAGUGCCAGUAGCCAUCUUGCACACAUGACACAAAAGCUCACACCCUGUGGACUAUGGAUGGCUACAAAACCCCUAGAAAGGAGAUUUAGAAUGAACUAGAGUCCCUAAUAACAUCUAUUGCUUAUUUUCUUGUUAGUGAGACAUGAACAUGUAUCUUCUAUGAACAACUGUUAUGGAAUUUUCUGUUAAAUACAGCCAAACGCAAUUUCCACAUGAUACAAUUAAGAUAAGGAAUAAACUACUAAGAUGAUAAAAAACA
This 1978-nucleotide long non-coding RNA is filed under the name Pan troglodytes (chimpanzee). Its description in RNAcentral is "lincRNA". The record is from RNAcentral. Lineage: Eukaryota; Metazoa; Chordata; Mammalia; Primates; Hominidae.